Molecule: ribosomal RNA, 253 nt
Filed under: uncultured Eubacteriales bacterium
Lineage: Bacteria; Bacillati; Bacillota; Clostridia; Eubacteriales
Description: uncultured Clostridiales bacterium partial 16S ribosomal RNA
Rfam family: Bacterial small subunit ribosomal RNA
Source: RNAcentral
UACGUAGGGGGCAAGCGUUAUCCGGAAUUACUGGGUGUAAAGGGAGCGUAGACGGUAAUGCAAGUCUGGAGUGAAAGGCGGGGGCCCAACCCCCGGACUGCUCUGGAAACUGUGUAACUGGAGUGCAGGAGAGGCAGGCGGAAUUCCUAGUGUAGCGGUGAAAUGCAUAGAUAUCACGAAGAACUCCGAUUGCGAAGGCAGCUUACCAGUCUGCGACUGACGCUCAGGCACGAAAGUGUGGGUAUCGAACAGG